UACGUAGGCAGCGAGCGUUGUUCGGAAUUACUGGGCGUAAAGCGUGCGCAGGCGGUUUGCUAAGACAGGUGUGAAAUCCCCGGGCUUAACCUGGGAACUGCGCUUGUAACUGGCAAGCUAGAGUGUGGCAGAGGGGGGUGGAAUUCCACGUGUAGCAGUGAAAUGCGUAGAGAUGUGGAGGAACACCGAUGGCGAAGGCAGCCCCCUGGGCUAACACUGACGCUCAUGCACGAAAGCGUGGGGAGCAAACAGG
RNAcentral lists this ribosomal RNA (253 nucleotides) under uncultured bacterium. RNAcentral's name for it is "partial 16S ribosomal RNA". It matches the Rfam family "Bacterial small subunit ribosomal RNA", at positions 524 to 776 of the family's 1533-position model. The record is from RNAcentral.